Long non-coding RNA from Micropterus dolomieu (smallmouth bass), 217 nucleotides. RefSeq lists it as uncharacterized. NCBI's taxonomy places the organism in Eukaryota, Metazoa, Chordata, Actinopteri, Centrarchiformes, Centrarchidae. The record is from RefSeq and is a predicted model, not a curated record. The transcript is spliced from 2 exons.
CAAAGUCUGCAGAGGAAGGAGGUUGGGGUAAGACUUGGGGUGCCAGAGGGUCAGUCAUCCAGGAGCCGAACCUGGAUCCAGACGUCUUGAUGGUGAUGGGAUCACUGAUACCUGUCAGUUUGCCACAUGCUGCAAGGGAAGAAGAGAGAUGGGAACAUCUAGAGCAACACCCACCCACCAGACUUAUUCCAGAUCUAUUAAAAGGGAUUCACUUUCA